GAGAAGAAAAAGAAGCAUAGAAAAAAUGACAAAGUAAGAUGAUGAAAAACCUCUUCAAAUAUAUCAACAAUCACAAUAAAUGAAGACGGACUUCCUUAGGUUUAAAAAUCAAAAUCCAGGAAUAAGCUGACAAGAGAAACACUAAAACAUACCUUGGCAAGGUGGAAAAUGAAAGGAUGUAAAAAGAAUUGAUGUAACUAUGUUAAUAUGAACACAAAAUAUACUUAAAAACCAAAAGCAUCAGUAGUGAUAGAAAAGGUGACAACAUAGCAUUAAAAAGUUGAAUUCAACAGGAAGAUAUUAUAAUUCUAAACUUAUAUGCACCUAGUAAAGUCAGCUCAAUUUAUUUGCAGUAAAUUUAUAGGGAGACAAAUUAAUAAGCACAUCACUAUUAUGAAGACCCUCAAUACUCCUCUUUACUGCCAAGUUUCAAAUAGACAAAAGAUAGUAGUUAUAAGAAUUGAACAGCAUAAUUAAUAAACUUAAAUCAGGAGAUACAUAUAGAAUCAUUUACCCAUUAUUAGAGAACAUACAUUCUUCUUAAGCACAUAAAGAACAUUAAAAAAAUCAACUACAUGUGUAUUAUUUACCCAUACAGCAAAUCUCAUCAAAUUUCAGAAACCUGAUAGCAUGCAAGCCACAUGACACUGGUAUCACACAGUCCAUCUCAGUUUAAUUAGGUUAGAAGUAAAUUGCAAUAGGGUAAAUUAACAUAUCAAAAAUUUGGAAAUUAAAAGUCAUACUUCUAAAUAAUUCCUAGAUCAAGAAAAGAACUUAUAAUAAAAUGCAAUAAUAUGGAGAACUGGAUUAUGAUUGUUACUACAUAUCAAGACCUGUAGUAGGCAAGGAAAGCAGCAUGUUAGAAGCAACAUAUAGUAUAAAUAUGCUAAGAUCUGAAAAGAAGAAAGGCUAAAAUUGAACGAGUUAGACAUCUAAACUAAUAAAUAAGGAAAAGAAAGAAUAAACCCAAGGAAAGAAUGAUGGUUAUAGUAAAGAAAGAGGGAGAAAUUAGCAAAGGCAAAAGUGAUUUCUUUUAAAGACUAAUUGAGCAAACAUCUGAUAAGACUAAUUGAGGUAAAAAAAAGAAAGAAGUUACAAAUAAUACUAUGGAUUUAAAAAGCUCAUAAUUGAAGAUAGAGUAAAAGUUGAAAAUAUGUUGGAUUUCUACAAGGAAAUUGAUAGAAAACAUUUGAUAGUACUAACAAAAUAGAUGAAUUCCUAGAAAACAAACAAUACCAAAUCAGACUGAAGGGAAAAUAGAAAGUUGGAAUUGUCUAUACUCAGUAAGUAAUUGAAUCUAUAGUUAAAACUCUUCCCACAAAGAAAACAACUGGCUCAAACAGUUUUAUAGACCAGUUUUACUAAAUUUGCAAUGAAGAGAAAAUAAGUCUCACAAACUUUUCCAGAGACUAGAAAGAGUGGCAAUAGUCCCUGAGUCAUUUAAUGAGGUCAGCGUAACCUUGAUACCCAAACUACAAAAGGAUAGUAUGAGAAAGGAGAAUACCUUCUAAUCAUAUUUAAGAACAUAGACAAAAGUCUGACCGGUCGUAUAAAAAAAGAUAGCCCAUAGGGAGUGAGUUAGGUUUAUCCUAGGAAAGGAUAUAUGCUUUAAAAAUAAUAAAUCUAUAAAUUUCGCUCAUCAUUUAACAGAUUAAAGAGGAAAACCAUAUGAUCCUCUCAAGCAGCGUAGGAAAGUACUCCAUAACAUUCAAUAUUCCAUCACGAUAAAAAUACUUAUAAACUUGGUAUAGAAGAGAACAUCUUUAGCAAAUCCUAUGUCAAAUACAAUUCUUAAUGGUUAAAUGUUAGAAGUGUUUCCUCUGAAAUCAGGAACAAGACAAGAACAUCCAGUAUAACCUCUUCUAUUUAGUGUUUUAACGUAGGUCCCAGCUAGCACAGAUAAGAUAGAUAAGAUAAGAAGUAGAUAUAAAAUAUAUGGAUA
Long non-coding RNA from Equus caballus (horse), 1942 nucleotides. The record is from Ensembl. Lineage: Eukaryota; Metazoa; Chordata; Mammalia; Perissodactyla; Equidae.